This 174-nucleotide unclassified non-coding RNA is filed under the name plant metagenome. Its description in RNAcentral is "partial contains small subunit ribosomal RNA, internal transcribed spacer 1, and 5.8S ribosomal RNA". The record is from RNAcentral.
UUUCCGUAGGUGAACCUGCGGAAGGAUCAUCACUGCAUUGUCCGCCUUUGCCCCCAUGUGGCCGUAUGCUGAGCGGGCGUGAGCCCGCGUCAUCCUCUUAUUCACGCCGCGUCGCAUCUGAGAGACACACACACUAAACAGACACAACUUUUAACAACGGAUCUCUUGGUUCUC